AUUGAACGCUGGCGGCAGGCCUAACACAUGCAAGUCGAACGAGUGGCGGACGGGUGAGUAAUGUCUGGGAAACUGCCCGAUGGAGGGGGAUAACUACUGGAAACGGUAGCUAAUACCGCAUACCAUCGGAUUGGCCAAGAUGGGAUUCGCCAGGAGGUGGGGUAUUGGCUCACCUAGGCAACGAUCCCUAGCUGGUCUGAGAGGAUGACCAGCCACACUGGAACUGGGACACGGUCCAGACUCCUACGGGAGGCAGCAGUGGGGAAUAUUGCACAAUGGGCGCAAGCCUGAUGCAGCCAUGCCGCGUGUAUGAAGAAGGCCUUCGGGUUGUAAAGUACUUUCAGCGGGGAGGCGUUACUCGCAGAAGAAGCACCGGCUAACUCCGUGCCAGCAGCCGCGGUAAUUC
Molecule: ribosomal RNA, 406 nt
Filed under: uncultured bacterium
Lineage: Bacteria
Description: partial 16S ribosomal RNA
Rfam family: Bacterial small subunit ribosomal RNA
Source: RNAcentral